RNAcentral lists this small RNA (91 nucleotides) under uncultured Dinobryon. Its description in RNAcentral is "partial Cyanobacteria transfer-messenger RNA". Lineage: Eukaryota; Chrysophyceae; Chromulinales. The record is from RNAcentral.
AACGCCGGCAGAGUGCCCUUACUGCGAAACAUACUGGGGUUCAGACGAAGUGGCAAGUCCUACACAUUGGCCACAUUUGCUUGUGCUCUCC